GAUGAGAUAACUAGGUCAAAUGGUGGUUCCAUUCCAAGUUUUUGGAGGAAUAUCCAUACUAUUUCCAGAGUGGUUGCACCAAUAUGCAAUCCUACCAGAAAU
Molecule: microRNA precursor, 102 nt
Filed under: Marmota monax (woodchuck)
Lineage: Eukaryota; Metazoa; Chordata; Mammalia; Rodentia; Sciuridae
Source: RNAcentral